This 466-nucleotide ribosomal RNA is filed under the name uncultured bacterium. RNAcentral describes it as "partial 16S ribosomal RNA". It matches the Rfam family "Bacterial small subunit ribosomal RNA", at positions 28 to 507 of the family's 1533-position model. The record is from RNAcentral.
GAUGAACGCUGGCGGCGUGCUUAACACAUGCAAGUCGAACGAUGAAGCCCAGCUUGCUGGGUGGAUUAGUGGCGAACGGGUGAGUAACACGUGAGUAACCUGCCCUUAACUCUGGGAUAAGCCUGGGAAACUGGGUCUAAUACCGGAUAGGAGCGUCCACCGCAUGGUGGGUGUUGGAAAGAUUUAUCGGUUUUGGAUGGACUCGCGGCCUAUCAGCUUGUUGGUGAGGUAAUGGCUCACCAAGGCGACGACGGGUAGCCGGCCUGAGAGGGUGACCGGCCACACUGGGACUGAGACACGGCCCAGACUCCUACGGGAGGCAGCAGUGGGGGAUAUUGCACAAUGGGCGCAAGCCUGAUGCAGCGACGCCGCGUGAGGGAUGACGGCCUUCGGGUUGUAACCCUCUUUCAGUAGGGAAGAAGCGAAAGUGACGGUACCUGCAGAAGAAGCACCGGCUAACUACGUG